UUUCUGCUUGAUAGUCUCAUGUAGAUACUAGAACUUUUUGAUUUAAAGUGAUUGCAAACUGGGAUGAUAUAGUGGAUUUAUGUAGCAAAGAUAGAGCUACUGGAGUGGGUGCUGAAACAUGUGCAGAAGCUGCUGAGAUUAUGACUCCUGAGAGUGAUCCCAAUAAUAUUGUUGAUUUGGAAAGUGAUACUCAAGGUUUUGAGAGUUAUCAGGUUGAUGAUGUUUCACCCAGCUCUAGUUGUCCAAAGAGAAGAAAUCAAAAUCCUUUUGAUAUUCCCC
RNAcentral lists this long non-coding RNA (279 nucleotides) under Prunus dulcis (almond). RNAcentral's name for it is "sRNA ncRNA". Lineage: Eukaryota; Viridiplantae; Streptophyta; Magnoliopsida; Rosales; Rosaceae. The record is from RNAcentral.